Molecule: long non-coding RNA, 213 nt
Organism: Cynara cardunculus var. scolymus (artichoke)
Lineage: Eukaryota; Viridiplantae; Streptophyta; Magnoliopsida; Asterales; Asteraceae
Exons: 3
Source: RefSeq, a predicted model, not a curated record
AGGUUGAUAGGUACUUAAUGUUGCUCAGUAUGAGUCAAGGAUCUAUCUUGAAUUGAUCCUCUCCAAGUCAAGUGUUUGUUGCCAUUUUGCAAAGCGUUUGAAGGUAUAUGUGGAUUUUGGCACCUCAUAUAGUUCAACAUUUUUAUCUGGAUCAAUAAGUAUCUUCAGUCAUCUCUUAUAAAUGGUACUCAACAACAGAAAAGAUUGUAUAGG